GACGAACGCUGGCGGCGUGCUUAACACAUGCAAGUCGAACGGAAAGGCCCUGCUUUUGUGGGGUGCUCGAGUGGCGAACGGGUGAGUAAAACGUGAGUAACCUGCCCUUGACUUUGGGAUAACUUCAGGAAACUGGGGCUAAUACCGGAUAGGAGCUCCUGCUGCAUGGGGGGGGUUGGAAAGUUUCGGCGGGUGGGGAUGGACUCGCGGCUUAUCAGCUUGUUGGUGGGGUAGUGGCUUACCAAGGCUUUGACGGGUAGCCGGCCUGAGAGGGUGACCGGCCACAUUGGGACUGAGAUACGGCCCAGACUCCUACGGGAGGCAGCAGUGGGGAAUAUUGCACAAUGGGCGGAAGCCUGAUGCAGCAACGCCGCGUGCGGGAUGACGGCCUUCGGGUUGUAAACCGCUUUCGCCUGUGACGAAGCGUGAGUGACGGUAAUGGGUAAAGAAGCACCGGCUAACUACGUG
Molecule: ribosomal RNA, 468 nt
Filed under: uncultured bacterium
Lineage: Bacteria
Description: partial 16S ribosomal RNA
Rfam family: Bacterial small subunit ribosomal RNA
Source: RNAcentral